GACUCGGAAAGGGAACUCCCUGACCCCUUGCGCUUCCCGAGUGAGGCAAUGCCUCGCCCUGCUUCGACUCGCGCAUGGUGCGCGCACGCACUGACCUGCGCCCACUGUCUGGCACUCCCUAGUGAGAUGAACCCGGUACCUCAGAUGGAAAUGCAGAAAUCACCAGUCUUCUGCGUCGCUCACGCUGGGAGCUGUAGACCGGAGCUGUUCCUAUUCGGCCAUCUUGUCUCCUCCCGUGUUUUCCAGGUGUAUUCCACAUUGUCUCUACUAGUGAACUAGGAUAAUCCAUUGUGUAUCUCAACCUCCUUCACUACCCUGUGAAAGUCACAUGUGAGAAGAAGCAUCACAGAUGAUUCCAUGGAGAACAUCCUGGAAGUUCUCCAAAUGAACUGGAAAUUCCCUGUCUCCCCUUAACCAGCACUGGAAGCAGAUGGGAAGAGAAUAGCUGUGACUGACUCACACUCUAACCCAGCAACCCUCAGCAUACAAGUGGGAGACCAUAAAGUUUUUCAAGACCCCAAAAGAGGCCAAAGGUCUGAUAAUUGCUGGGAGAAGGUCCACUAUCCAAGAAGAGAAGAGGAAAAGGAAUUAAAGUCUCCAAGCACUGGGGAUGCAAGAAGAGAGUUGCACAGGAGAGAAAGAAGAAGUUGUCCACGGGGUGACCCUGCAAUUGGAGGGAAAUGCAUGUGGAUAUGUGCAGGGAGUCUAGGAAGUGAAGCCUUAGUGAUCAUUUACAAGAAUGAGGGUUAGGUAAAAUAAGGGAUGCAAAGCCACCUGUAGUCUAUUCUAACCUCACUCCAUCACUCUAUACAAUCUGUGUUUUAUCAUCUGAAAUGUUAAGUAAAGACCUGUUUGGGUCUUCUUCAGAAUCCCAUACAUUUGAGUUCAUUAGUCAGAAAAAGGGAAAAUACCACCACCCCAUCCUGGAAUGGCAGUCAUGUACACUUUUAUAAUGAGAGAUUGGGCAGCAAAGGGGGCCCCUUGUGGACCUCACCCAGCCAGAGAAGGAGGCAGAAUGUUUCCUUUACUAUCUUUUCCUCUCCCCAGAGGAACACUACAUAUUGUUCCCUCCAUGGGCUUAAGAGAAGGUGCCAGGGUUACAGAUAGAUAUAUCGCUAGCUGUAGAGCACAGGGUGAAUUGGGAUGUCCAUGUACAAAGCUAGGGACAGGAGAAUCAGUUUAAAGACUUUAAAAAUAAUUAGGAAAAAAAGGAAGGCCUGACCCAAAGCUUAGGAGUGCAGGUAGAGAAGAGAUGGUGCCAUGAUAUACCAUGUCUCUGGGACUUUUCUGUAUUCCUCUUCCUCUGUAUACUGUAUUGCCCUCAUUCCCUAUUUAUUCAAAAUCUGUGCUACCUCCACUGCGAAGACUUCCACGAGAAAAUUCAGAUAUUUCUUCUUUUGUGGACACUUUCUACCUUACAAAUAAGUUAAUUUUAAUUCAAGGAAGAGUUUUUCCGGAACCCUGUUGGCCUGCUCACAGGAAUGUAAGUUCCUUAAAUCUAGGGCACAGUGUCUUUGAGAACUGCAAUCACCUACAUCAACAUGACAUAGCUAUUAGGACUAAGAACAGAGACCACCUGUGUCAACAUGAGUUACUAUUUUUUUCCGUGAAACAUUUGUCCAAGAAAGAUAAGACUGUAACCAAUAAAUAGUUUGCAAGUAA
Molecule: long non-coding RNA, 1662 nt
Filed under: Homo sapiens (human)
Lineage: Eukaryota; Metazoa; Chordata; Mammalia; Primates; Hominidae
Description: long independently transcribed non-coding RNA 491 (LINC00491)
Source: RNAcentral